This 670-nucleotide ribosomal RNA is filed under the name uncultured bacterium. RNAcentral describes it as "bacterial SSU rRNA". It matches the Rfam family "Bacterial small subunit ribosomal RNA", at positions 91 to 744 of the family's 1533-position model. The record is from RNAcentral.
GCGAGCGGCGGAUGGGUGAGUAACACGUGGGGAAACCUGCCCCCUAAGUCUGGGAUACCAUUUGGAAACAGGUGCUAAUACCGGAUAAUAAAGCAGAUCGCAUGAUCAGCUUUUGAAAGGCGGCGUAAGCUGUCGCUAAGGGAUGGCCCCGCGGUGCAUUAGCUAGUUGGUAAGGUAACGGCUUACCAAGGCGACGAUGCAUAGCCGAGUUGAGAGACUGAUCGGCCACAUUGGGACUGAGACACGGCCCAAACUCCUACGGGAGGCAGCAGUAGGGAAUCUUCCACAAUGGACGCAAGUCUGAUGGAGCAACGCCGCGUGAGUGAAGAAGGUUUUCGGAUCGUAAAGCUCUGUUGUUGGUGAAGAAGGAUAGAGGUAGUAACUGGCCUUUAUUUGACGGUAAUCAACCGGAAAGUCACGGCUAACUACGUGCCAGCAGCCGCGGUAAUACGUAGGUGGCAAGCGUUGUCCGGAUUUAUUGGGCGUAAAGCGAGCGCAGGCGGAAAAAUAAGUCUAAUGUGAAAGCCCUCGGCUUAACCGAGGAACUGCAUCGGAAACUGUUUUUCUUGAGUGCAGAAAAGGAGAGUGGAACUCCAUGUGUAGCGGUGGAAUGCGUAGAUAUAUGGGAAGAACACCAGUGGCGAAAGCGGCUCUCUGGUCUGCAACUGAC